Molecule: ribosomal RNA, 441 nt
Filed under: uncultured bacterium
Lineage: Bacteria
Description: partial 16S ribosomal RNA
Rfam family: Bacterial small subunit ribosomal RNA
Source: RNAcentral
CCUACGGGAGGCAGCAGUCGGGAAUAUUGCGCAAUGGAGGAAACUCUGACGCAGUGACGCCGCGUGCAGGAAGAAGGUCUUCGGAUUGUAAACUGCUUUAGACAGGGAAGAAAAAAGACAGUACCUGUAGAUUCAGCUCCGGCGCAAUACGUGCCACCACCGCCGGUAAAACGUAGGGAGCAGGCGUUAUCCGGGUUUAUUGGGUGUAAAGGGUGCGUAGGGGGAGAAGCAAGUUAGUUGGGAAAUACCCGGGUUUAAAGGAGGAACUGCAACUAAAACUACUGCCCUUGAGUACGGGAGAGGAAAGUGGAAUUCCUGGUGUAGCGGUGAAAUGCAUAGAUAUUAGGAGGAACACCAGUGGCGAAGGCGACUUACUGGAGAGUAACUGACGUUGAGGCACGAAAGUGUGGGGAGCAAACAGGAUUAGAUACCCCAGUAGUC